UAUAAAUGAUAAGAUUAUGAGUAAUUUCACUUUUCAUGUUUCGUAAUUUUUUUUUACAAUUAGAAUAUAUUCCCUUAUAAUCAGAAAAUAUAAGCAUUGUUUUAAAAGAUAGUUGGAUAUAAAAUAUAUUUUCAUACUUCUAAAAAUAUCGUAGAAGGGUUGGGGAGGGAAAACCUCUGGCUAAUUAGAUAUUCUGAAAGAAAAAAAAUGGUGUUCUGAAAAUGGCCAGUGCAGCUGAACAAGUAAGAUUUGUGGUGGUGGUGGUGGUGGUGGUGGUUCUUCCUUGCUGCCACCACUUUCCAAGGGAGUUCUGUUUUGGGUCUAGCUUCCUGAAUUGAUUAAUGGCAGACUUCUCUAGGACAUUUCUUUACAGAAGUAUUUGAGAACUCUAUGGAUGUGAGAUUUCCCUUAAGUCUCUAGUUAAUAAUUAGCCCUGAGUAUACCACCAAUUGACAUAAAGGUUUUUUUCACGCACUUGUGGGGGAUUUGUUUUGGAGCUUGACAUUUCUGUGUACUAGCUACUGAAUUGGGAGAAGAAAGGAGUGCAGUGUCUUCAGGGCCUUGUUAAAAAUCAGAUCCACAGCCUGAGCCAGUGAAGCUCUGGUUUUAUAGAAGUGAUGCCUUAGCAUCCGUUCUCAAUUGUACCCUCUGCCCUUGCGUCUGUUUACAAGAAAAAUCUGUAACUACCAGUCAAUUUAAUACUCAUACGUCCCUACGGAGUUUUGUGAAAUUAAAAUAUAAGUAAUUUCUUUGCUCUAUGAAAUCUGAUAGUAUUGUUUUGUUUGUACAGGAAAUAGCACAAAUGUUUGUCAGAGUUGGGAUGUGUGAACAAGCAGUGACUGCAUUUUUGAAAUGUAGUCAACCAAAGGCAGCGGUAGAUACCUGCGUACAUCUCAACCAAUGGAACAAAGCUGUUGAAUUGGCUCAAAAUCAUAAUAUGAAAGAAAUUGGAUCUCUGUUAGCUAGGUAUGCAUCUCAUUUACUGGAAAAGAAUAAAACUUUUGAUGCCAUAGAACUCUAUCGGAAAGCCAAUUACUUUUUGGAUGCUGCUAAACUGAUGUUUAAGGUUGCAGAUGAAGAGGCAAAGAAAGGAAGUAAACCUUUACGUGUCAAGAAGCUCUAUGUAAUGUCAGCCUUACUUAUAGAGCAACACUAUGAACAGGUGAAGAAUGCCCAGCGAGGAAAAGUUAAAGGAAAAAGUUCAGAGGUAAAGUAGCAGGUUAAAUAACAUUAAAUCAUCCGAAGUGUUUAAGAAAAAAGAGAAAGAGACUGUCAGACUUCUCUUAUGGACAGGUCAUUUAAUUUGCGUGUCUGCAUUUGUUUCUUUAAAUGAUAUGAAGAAAAAUAAUGACUGACUUAGAAUUAGUAUUCAAAUUUAGAAAUUUCUACGUAGAAAUAUUGAAAUUGUUUUUCUGUAAUACGAAUCUGUAGUCUUUGCUUUAAUGUCUUAUUGUUGUUAAAAAAUUUUACUUACCUGGGAAAUCCUCCUUUUCUCAUCAGUGAGUUUUAAAACUUUCCUAGAUAUAUUAUUUUAAUGCGUAAAAGAAUGUCUGAUUAACUUAAAAUCUAAUUAGUUAUGUUUUAAAAUUUAUUCAUACCAGUUUAACAAACUAUGAAUUAUACUAAAAAAUGAAGUCUGUUUUGGGUGCAGUGGCUCACACCAGUAAUCUCAGUGACUAGGGAGGCUUAGGUGGGAGGAUCACUUGAGUCCGUGAGUUUGAGACUGCAGUGAGCUAUGACCAUGCAACUGCUUUCCAGCUUGGGUGACAGUAAUACCUCAUCUCUUAAAAAAAAGUCUGUAAUCAUAGUUUAGUAAUGAUAAAAUCUGCUCGUUUAGAUACUUUAAUGACUGUUGUUAUUCGGGAGUUGAUGCUGUGUGUGUGUUUGUACUGAUGCAAAGUGUGGGCUGACUUUACUUGUAGGCCACUUCUGCCUUGGCUGGUUUGCUGGAAGAGGAAGUUCUAUCUACAACAGAUCGUUUCACAGAUAAUGCAUGGAGAGGGGCAGAGGCUUACCACUUCUUUAUACUUGCACAGAGGCAGCUCUAUGAGGGAUAUGUGGACGCUGCACUGAAGACAGGUGGGCGUGUCACCUAAUGUGUAUAGUGUGUCUGAAUAUUAUAAAUUGAGUGUGAAGGGCCAGCUUCUUCAAUUUGCCUUUAUGUGGCCUUCAAUAACAUUUUUUCCUAUGGAUUUAUUUUCUUACGUUUGAGAUUAUGCUAUAUAUAAUUUGUCUUAGGCAUUCCCAUUUUUGAAGUUUUUUUUUAAUGCAGAGAAAACACAUAGCUCACAGAAAUGUCAGAAAUUUGAGAUAAGCAAAAAGAACGUGUAUAGCAUUCAUAUGGCUAGCCAU
Molecule: long non-coding RNA, 2352 nt
Organism: Rhinopithecus bieti (black snub-nosed monkey)
Lineage: Eukaryota; Metazoa; Chordata; Mammalia; Primates; Cercopithecidae
Source: Ensembl